This 775-nucleotide long non-coding RNA is filed under the name Oryctolagus cuniculus (rabbit). RNAcentral describes it as "lncRNA (ENSOCUG00000033148.1)". Lineage: Eukaryota; Metazoa; Chordata; Mammalia; Lagomorpha; Leporidae. The record is from RNAcentral.
CUUACAAGUCUUGCGGUGACAGCUAGUGUCGUGAGCUGUGCAUGAGAGCUGCUGGCUUGAUCGCAUGAUCCUUAAACCGGGUCUAGCGCCAUUUUAGACGUUGCUGUUUGGCGGCUGGGACUCGUACCGCAGAAGCGGAAGAAGUGGAGCAGGAAACAGGUUACUGAGGGCUACUGUGAUCUGAGGGAGAGAUGAGAUCUUGUGCAGUGAGCUUCGAUCAGUGCUGUGGCCUGUGUGCACUGCAGAGGGGGACCAUGCUCCAGCUGUUGAGACGGGUGUAGCGUUCUUCAGCCGACAGAGCCAAGAACCCGCUGAGGAUCAGCCAGGAUCUCUGCCAGGUGGUUGAUAUCUUUGAUGAUACUCAUGAUGCUGCACCAUCAGACUUGGAAACCAGAAUUUUAAUUGAUUGUGUUACUGCCAUAAGGAAUGGUGUAUCUAUAUGAGUGAAACAAUUAAAUUUUACCUAAACAUUAUUUCUCAAGGUUUUGUGCCUUACAAGGGAGACUGGUUAGAAGUUGAGUAUUCCAUGCAUCCAGACACCUCGAACAUCAUGGCACACUCAGCAAAGCCCAUGAACUCUAAGCAUGUAGAAGAGGUAAUUUGUGUGCAUGUUGCACUUGAACUCUAGGCAUGUAGAAGAGGUAAUUUAUUUGCAUGUUGUACUUGACCUUCCUUAUUGUCAGUGUUUCCUUUGGUGUUAAUUUCAUUCCCUGCUUUCUAUUUCAUGCGCUGUGAUAACUAUAAAUUCUAUUAUUUGUCAAAGAGGAGUUUUUUU